This 336-nucleotide ribosomal RNA is filed under the name Triticum aestivum (bread wheat). RNAcentral's name for it is "partial small subunit ribosomal RNA". Lineage: Eukaryota; Viridiplantae; Streptophyta; Magnoliopsida; Poales; Poaceae. The record is from RNAcentral.
AUGGCGUGGCUUCGUGACCCUUCCUUUGUUGGCAAGGUGGUGACAGUGGAGAUACCUGAGCCGAAGCUGACAAACAAGCCACCCGAGUCCAUGGAUGAGUAUGAAGCAAUGCAAUUCGAAUUGGGUGAAUACGGACCAUCGUCGCCGAGGAAGAAGAACAGCUUACUGUAUCCUGUCAUUUGCCACAUGAAGGAGGUUGUUGAUCUUGGUCCUCUGCUUGCUAAAGGACUACCUGAUGAGUGGCUGCGAGGAGAAGGCGAGGACCUGACUCGCAAGCAUAUCUUCAAGACUGUGCUGGGCAAGAUCGACGGCACUGACGGUGAUGAAGGAGUUUGA